Non-coding RNA from Schistosoma rodhaini, 45 nucleotides. The record is from Rfam. Lineage: Eukaryota; Metazoa; Platyhelminthes; Trematoda; Strigeidida; Schistosomatidae.
AUCCAGCUGAAUGAUCCGAAAUAGAACUAAACGCGCGUCCUGGAU